GAACUAUUCAUCCCACAAAGAGUCCGGUAC
RNAcentral lists this non-coding RNA (30 nucleotides) under Rattus norvegicus (Norway rat). The record is from RNAcentral. Lineage: Eukaryota; Metazoa; Chordata; Mammalia; Rodentia; Muridae.